GGAUGCGAUCAUACCAGCACUAAAGCACCGGAUCCCAUCAGAACUCCGAAGUUAAGCGUGCUUGGGUGAGAGUAGUACUAGGAUGGGUGACCUCCUCGGAAGUCCUCGUGUUGUAUUCC
RNAcentral lists this ribosomal RNA (119 nucleotides) under Triticum dicoccoides. Lineage: Eukaryota; Viridiplantae; Streptophyta; Magnoliopsida; Poales; Poaceae. The record is from RNAcentral.